Molecule: ribosomal RNA, 253 nt
Filed under: uncultured bacterium
Lineage: Bacteria
Description: partial 16S ribosomal RNA
Rfam family: Bacterial small subunit ribosomal RNA
Source: RNAcentral
UACAGGGGGUGCAAACGUUGCUCGGAAUUAUUGGGCGUAAAGCGCGCGUAGGCGGCCACUUAAGUCGGAUGUGAAAACCACGGGCUUAACUCGUGGCCUGCAGUUGAGACUGUCUGGCUUGAGUGUGGGAGAGGAGAGUGGAAUUCCUGGUGUAGCGGUGAAAUGCGUAGAUAUCAGGAGGAACACCGGUGGCGAAGGCGGCCCUCUGGACCACAACUGACGCUGAGGCGCGAAAGCUAGGGGAGCAAACAGG